Molecule: long non-coding RNA, 1880 nt
Filed under: Cricetulus griseus (Chinese hamster)
Lineage: Eukaryota; Metazoa; Chordata; Mammalia; Rodentia; Cricetidae
Description: lncRNA (ENSCGRG00015031661.1)
Source: RNAcentral
CGAGUGCCGGCUGCUGUUGCUAGGGGCGACUCGUCCCGUUGGUUCUGAGCCGGAGGUGCGGUGCCGAGCGCGCAGGCUUGGUCCCUGGCGGCUCCAGCGGAGUUCCAGCGGUCCCGAGCGCCCGGGCAUCCCCGACCGCUCCGGGUGGGCCCGACGUUUACAGAGCCCUGACCCCGGCCGGCCGCAUCACCACGCCUGCAGAUGCUGCUGUUUGCAGAAGCUCAGUCCGCUUUCCCCGGGCCACGGAUGCAGCCAAGGAUGGAGCUACCGCAUCAGCAGUCAGUCACAGGCCUGGCGGAGAGCGCAGGAGCCGGGCCCCUGCUCCACAACUGAGGUGUCCAUCGAGCGUCCAGUCAUGAACCCGGCCCAGCCGAGUCCCCGCGCGGAUGACAGAGUGCAGAGACCAAGGCGGCGGCGAGAAUGGCAUGCGAACUCGAAGACGCACCCAGGGAUCCAUAACUAAAUGCCGCAGAGACCUGCAGUGGCAUUCCUCUGAAUCAAGCGUUUGUUCCACACAAUUCAGCUGAAAUGUAGAUUGUGAUAACUGGAAGUGUGCUCCAGAGCAGGGAGGCCAAGUGUGGGCAUCCAGUCUCACUGGGGGUCUGGGUCAGGGGAAGCCUAUAGAGGGCAUGCUCACUCUGAAGAUGGGUUGAUGGCUGGCUACACAGAGGCAUGGCGGUGAGGAACGGCAGGAUGGAUUCAAACACAAAAAGGGCGAGCGAGAGCCAGGUAGAUUUAGACAGCAUGGCAACAGGUCUCCCCUCAACCCUGAUGAAUUCUGGUGAUUCAACAUUGUUUCCUGAUAAAUUGAGGAAAGCCUCCAAAAGGUUGUCAGCCUCAGGAAGGGGCUUUGGAAAAGCCUGUGGACACUGGAGAACAUUCCACAUCGGCCAGAGAAGUAACUGGACAUGUGGCCUCCCCCAGGGGGAUUUGCUCAUUUGUGCUGCACAUUAAACAGUGAGUCAGUGAAUGCCAAAGGUGAGGAAUAACGAUGACAGCACUUAACCUCAAGGUUAGUAUUUCCUAGUUUUCAUGAAGUUUAAAAUUGAAGACCCAGAAUUGUAAAGGCUCAAUAAAGACCUGGAAGUGAGCCGGGCAUUGGUGGCGCACGCCUUUAAUCCCAGCACUCGGGAGACAGAGGCAGGCUGGUCUCAAACUCACAGAGCUCCGCCUGCCUCUUCCUCCAAAGUGCUAGGAUUAAAGACGUGCGACACCACUAUUAAAAAAAAAAAAGCGGCCAUACCUAGCUUUUCUUAACCUGGGUUCUGGGGAUGAGACUCAGGUCCCUGUUCUUGUACGGCUAGCACUUCACUUUCUGAGCUGUCUGUCCUGCACUUGGGAGACAGAGACAGGAGGAUCUCUAUGAGUUUGAGACCAAGCUAGUGUAGAAAGUUCCGGGCCAGCCAAGAUGACAUAGUGAGACAAUGUCUCAAAAAGGGAGGGGGAUGCUAGAGAGAUGGCUGAGCAGUUACAUGUACUUGCGACCCUUGUAGAGAACCUAUGUUAGGUUCCCAGCACCUUCUGGAACUCCAGCUCCAGGGGAUCCAAUGCCCUCUUCUGGCCUCUCAGGCACAAGGUGUGCACACACACGCGCGCACACACACACAGUCAAAACACACUUAAAAUAACGUUUUAAUGUCAUGUCAGGACAAUUUAAUGAUAACUAGUGACAAUAGCAACACCAUCAAGUUGUGCAUGCUCUACACCACAAUUCUGUCCUAAAUAUUUACCCUCAAGUGUGCAGAACAGAGGCUGGCAAGGCAGCUCAUCAGAUGAGGGUGCCAGCUCCAACCCUGUCAACCCAACGGAGGAGAAAAAUGACCCCUGCAGGUUGCCCUCUGACUUCUGUGCCUGCCUUGGCUCUUAUGUGAAUAGACACA